UUACCAUGCAGUCGAACGAUGAAGCUCCCAGCUUGCUGGGGGUGGAUUAGUGGCGAACGGGUGAGUAUCACGUGAGUAACCUGCCCUUGACUCUGGGAUAAGCCCGGGAAACUGGGUCUAAUACCGGAUAGGACUCCUCAUCGCAUGGUGGGGGGUUGAAAGAUUUUAUCGGUCUUGGAUGGGCUCGCGGCCUAUCAGCUUGACGGUGGGGUAGUGGCCUACCGUGGCUUUGACGGGUAGCCGGCCUGAGAGGGUGACCGGCCACACUGGGACUGAGACACGGCCCAGACUCCUACGGGAGGCAGCAGUGGGGAAUAUUGCACAAUGGGCGCAAGCCUGAUGCAGCGACGCCGCGUGCGGGAUGACGGCCUUCGGGUUGUAAACCGCUUUCAGUACAGAAGAAGCCCUUUUUGGGUGACGGUAUGUGCAGAAGAAGCGCCGGCUAACUACGUGCCAGCAGCCGCGGUAAUACGUAGGGCGCGAGCGUUAUCCGGAAUUAUUGGGCGUAAAGAGCUUGUAGGCGGUUUGUCACGUCUGCUGUGAAAGCCCGGGGCUUAACUCCGGGUGUGCAGUGGGUACGGGCAGGCUAGAGUGCAGUAGGGGAGACUGGAAUUCCUGGUGUAGCGGUGAAAUGCGCAGAUAUCAGGAGGAACACCGAUGGCGAAGGCAGGUCUCUGGGCUGUUACUGACGCUGAGAAGCGAAAGCAUGGGUAGCGAACAGGAUUAGAUACCCUGGUAGUCCAUGCCGUAAACGUUGGGCACUAGGUGUGGGGGACAUUCCACGUUUUCCGCGCCGUAGCUAACGCAUUAAGUGCCCCGCCUGGGGAGUACGGCCGCAAGGCUAAACUCAAAGGAAUUGACGG
Molecule: ribosomal RNA, 863 nt
Filed under: Nesterenkonia sp. CLY-100-B1
Lineage: Bacteria; Bacillati; Actinomycetota; Actinomycetes; Micrococcales; Micrococcaceae
Description: bacterial SSU rRNA
Rfam family: Bacterial small subunit ribosomal RNA
Source: RNAcentral